GUGCUCGCUUUGGCAGCACAUAUACUAAAAUUGGAACAAUGCAGAGAGGAUUAGCACGGUCCCUGAGCAAGGAUGAGACGAAAAUUCGUGAAGCAUUCUUUUUUUUU
Small nuclear RNA from Saimiri boliviensis boliviensis (Bolivian squirrel monkey), 107 nucleotides. NCBI's taxonomy places the organism in Eukaryota, Metazoa, Chordata, Mammalia, Primates, Cebidae. The record is from Ensembl.